UUAAGCGACUAAGCGUACACGGUGGAUGCCCUGGCAGUCAGAGGCGAUGAAGGACGUGCUAAUCUGCGAAAAGCGUCGGUAAGGUGAUAUGAACCGUUAUAGCCGGCGAUGUCCGAAUGGGGAAACCCAGUGCAAUUCGUUGCACUAUCGUUAACUGAAUACAUAGGUUAACGAGGCGAACCGGGGGAACUGAAACAUCUAAGUACCCCGAGGAAAAGAAAUCAACCGAGAUUCCCCCAGUAGCGGCGAGCGAACGGGGAGCAGCCCAGAGUCUGAAUCAGCUUGUGUGUUAGUGGAACGGUCUGGAAAGUCCGACGGUACAGGGUGAUAGUCCCGUACACCAAAAUGCACAGGCUGUGAACUCGAAGAGUAGGGCGGGACACGUGGUAUCCUGUCUGAAUAUGGGGGGACCAUCCUCCAAGGCUAAAUACUCCUGACUGACCGAUAGUGAACCAGUACCGUGAGGGAAAGGCGAAAAGAACCCCGGCGAGGGGAGUGAAAAAGAACCUGAAACCGUGUACGUACAAGCAGUGGGAGCACCUUCGGGUGUGACUGCGUACCUUUUGUAUAAUGGGUCAGCGACUUAUAUUCUGUAGCAAGGUUAACCGUAUAGGGGAGCCGCAGGGAAACCGAGUCUUAACUGGGCGUUAAGUUGCAGGGUAUAGACCCGAAACCCGGUGAUCUAGCCAUGGGCAGGUUGAAGGUUGGGUAACACUAACUGGAGGACCGAACCGACUAAUGUUGAAAAAUUAGCGGAUGACUUGUGGCUGGGGGUGAAAGGCCAAUCAAACCGGGAGAUAGCUGGUUCUCCCCGAAAGCUAUUUAGGUAGCGCCUCGUGAACUCAUCUUCGGGGGUAGAGCACUGUUUCGGCUAGGGGGUCAUCCCGACUUACCAACCCGAUGCAAACUACGAAUACCGAAGAAUGUUAUCACGGGAGACACACGGCGGGUGCUAACGUCCGUCGUGAAGAGGGAAACAACCCAGACCGCCAGCUAAGGUCCCAAAGUCAUGGUUAAGUGGGAAACGAUGUGGGAAGGCACAGACAGCCAGGAUGUUGGCUUAGAAGCAGCCAUCAUUUAAAGAAAGCGUAAUAGCUCACUGGUCGAGUCGGCCUGCGCGGAAGAUGUAACGGGGCUAAACCAUGCACCGAAGCUGCGGCAGCGACACUAUGUGUUGUUGGGUAGGGGAGCGUUCUGUAAGCCUGCGAAGGUGACCUGUGAGGGUUGCUGGAGGUAUCAGAAGUGCGAAUGCUGACAUAAGUAACGAUAAAGCGGGUGAAAAGCCCGCUCGCCGGAAGACCAAGGGUUCCUGUCCAACGUUAAUCGGGGCAGGGUGAGUCGACCCCUAAGGCGAGGCCGAAAGGCGUAGUCGAUGGGAAACAGGUUAAUAUUCCUGUACUUGGUGUUACUGCGAAGGGGGGACGGAGAAGGCUAUGUUAGCCGGGCGACGGUUGUCCCGGUUUAAGCAUGUAGGCUGGUUGUCCAGGCAAAUCCGGAUAAUCAAGGCUGAGGUGUGAUGACGAGGUACUACGGUGCUGAAGUAACAAAUGCCCUGCUUCCAGGAAAAGCCUCUAAGCAUCAGGUAACAUUAAAUCGUACCCCAAACCGACACAGGUGGUCAGGUAGAGAAUACCAAGGCGCUUGAGAGAACUCGGGUGAAGGAACUAGGCAAAAUGGUGCCGUAACUUCGGGAGAAGGCACGCUGGUGUGUAGGUGAAGUCCCUGCGGAUGGAGCUGAGACCAGUCGAAGAUACCAGCUGGCUGCAACUGUUUAUUAAAAACACAGCACUGUGCAAACACGAAAGUGGACGUAUACGGUGUGACGCCUGCCCGGUGCCGGAAGGUUAAUUGAUGGGGUUAUCCGUAAGGAGAAGCUCUUGAUCGAAGCCCCGGUAAACGGCGGCCGUAACUAUAACGGUCCUAAGGUAGCGAAAUUCCUUGUCGGGUAAGUUCCGACCUGCACGAAUGGCGUAAUGAUGGCCAGGCUGUCUCCACCCGAGACUCAGUGAAAUUGAACUCGCUGUGAAGAUGCAGUGUACCCGCGGCAAGACGGAAAGACCCCGUGAACCUUUACUAUAGCUUGACACUGAACAUUGAGCCUUGAUGUGUAGGAUAGGUGGGAGGCUUUGAAGCGUGGACGCCAGUCUGCGUGGAGCCAACCUUGAAAUACCACCCUUUAAUGUUUGAUGUUCUAACGUUGGCCCCUUACCGGGGUUGCGGACAGUGUCUGGUGGGUAGUUUGACUGGGGCGGUCUCCUCCCAAAGCGUAACGGAGGAGCACGAAGGUUAGCUAAUCCUGGUCGGACAUCAGGAGGUUAGUGCAAUGGCAUAAGCUAGCUUGACUGCGAGCGUGACGGCGCGAGCAGGUGCGAAAGCAGGUCAUAGUGAUCCGGUGGUUCUGAAUGGAAGGGCCAUCGCUCAACGGAUAAAAGGUACUCCGGGGAUAACAGGCUGAUACCGCCCAAGAGUUCAUAUCGACGGCGGUGUUUGGCACCUCGAUGUCGGCUCAUCACAUCCUGGGGCUGAAGUAGGUCCCAAGGGUAUGGCUGUUCGCCAUUUAAAGUGGUACGCGAGCUGGGUUUAGAACGUCGUGAGACAGUUCGGUCCCUAUCUGCCGUGGGCGCUGGAGAAUUGAGGGGGGCUGCUCCUAGUACGAGAGGACCGGAGUGGACGCAUCACUGGUGUUCGGGUUGUCAUGCCAAUGGCACUGCCCGGUAGCUAAAUGCGGAAGAGAUAAGUGCUGAAAGCAUCUAAGCACGAAACUUGCCCCGAGAUGAGUUCUCCCUGAGACUUUAAGUCUCCUGAAGGAACGUUAAAGACGAUGACGUUGAUAGGCCGGGUGUGUAAGCGCAGCGAUGCGUUGAGCUAACCGGUACUAAUGAACCGUGAGGCUUAACCUU
RNAcentral lists this ribosomal RNA (2900 nucleotides) under Klebsiella pneumoniae. RNAcentral's name for it is "bacterial LSU rRNA". It matches the Rfam family "Bacterial large subunit ribosomal RNA". Lineage: Bacteria; Pseudomonadati; Pseudomonadota; Gammaproteobacteria; Enterobacterales; Enterobacteriaceae. The record is from RNAcentral.